Salvia splendens (bonfire salvia) is the source of this 2771-nucleotide long non-coding RNA. RefSeq lists it as uncharacterized. The record is from RefSeq and is a predicted model, not a curated record. Lineage: Eukaryota; Viridiplantae; Streptophyta; Magnoliopsida; Lamiales; Lamiaceae. The transcript has 2 exons.
GUGAUGUGUGAAUUCUUAGAGCUAUUUUAUGAUAUUACUACUUUAAUUUCUGUUCAUCCUAUCCUACUUCCAGCUUGUAUUUUAUGGGAGUGUGAAAUAUUGCACGUUUGUUGGAGAAGAAUUCUAGAAGUCAUGAUGAAAUGGUAAAGUCUAUUUCUCUUAAGAUGCAAUCAAAGUUCGAUAAAUAUUGGGAAGAUUAUAUCGAAAUCCUUUCCAUGGGGGCCGUGUUUGAUCCAAGAAUGAAGCUGAAACUUGUGGAGUAUGAUCCUCUUUCAAGUGAGGACAAAGUCAAUAGGUUGAAGAUGAAAUUCUAUAUUCUAUACGAUGAGUUUAAGAAAAAAGGUGUUGAUGUAUCUUUGUCUAAAGAUCCUCAACCAGUGCAAGUUCUAUUGCUGAAGUUGGGGAGUCUAAAUUCAUGGAAGGAGUAAGAAGACAAGAAGACAAUGAAGUUGUUGAUGCAUCAUUGUCUAAUGUGCUGGUUGUAAGUAUUUUUUAAUAAAUAUUUUUUUAAUCUAUAUUUAUAUUUAUAUUAAUUUCAUUUAUAACCUCUCUGGAAAUGUUGUGAUACACCCAAAAUUUUAACUAUUAUUCCAGCAGUUGUGUUUGUCUACGACAGUUUGAUCAACUAGCACGGGACCAAGUUUUCUAUAGAUUGCAAACUUGAGUUUGCUCGUACUGCUUGCUCAUCUAAAUUCUGCUGCUGGGCUGCGCUGCAAGCAAAACUCAUUCCUUUGUUGAGAGCUCUUCUUUACUUGAGAGCUCUUCUUUACUGUUGAUCAAGUUCCAGAGAUGUCCAUUUUUCUUCAAUAGUUAGGUUCUCGCUUUCGGUAUAGGGGUGUGAUCCUGGCGCCACCCCUCACUUGCUUUCUGUGCAAACAAGUGAGUAUUCUAUCUCCCUUCACAUUUCUUGUCCUUCACAUUAAGGGUAAUGAGCUAAUUACUUGUCUAAUGCUGCAUUGGUUUGCAUCAUGGACAUUAGAUUCCUAUGUAAAUUAUUGCUGUUUGCAAAGAAUCGAGCUUAAGCAGAUUGUUCUUGAGUUGCUCAAAAUAUACACUAAUUCUCAUUACAAUAUUUCCGAUGAUGCACUAUAUAAUUUCAUAGGCUAGGCUUGGUCUAGAAGUGGGAAUGAUGUCAAUCCUACAUGGUAUGUAAAAUUAAUGUGCAAAAUAUAUUUAUUAUGUUGUGUAGAUUGAUAAUGUUUUUCCUUGAUAUUAGAAUGAGUUGUUUUGAUGAUACAAUCUCACUUUUAUAUGUUUAAAGAUAUGUGUACCUGCUUUAGAUAAUGAAGCACAAGUCUGAAUAACAACUGCCGAAAAGGUUACAAAUUCUGUCGGAUUCUUUGUCUUGCUGUCCAGCAUAUUAGGUAAGUAUUUGUUGCAUAUGUUGUGCUUAAUUUCUUUAUUUAUAUUCUCAAGCUGAUUUGUAUAAUCAAUUUUGUUUGUUUCUGUGUUUGCAUUAUAUGAGCUAAGGAAGAGCUAACUUCUAAAUGAGGCAAGAUGAGAGAAGAAAUACCUAACCCCCAUCACCUAACUUCCAAAGCAAACAAGGGAGUAUUUUGUUUCCGCUCACAUUUUCUCGUCCUUCACAUAAAGGGCAAUGUUAAUAUUAAGAUUUUGGGUUAGGGUCUUUGUGUGCAUUUUGAUUAUGUGGUUGUAAAUAUUUUGAUUAAUUUCUCUUCGAUUCGUUGAUUUUGAAGUUUCUUUUUUCAACAAUGUAUAUAACAAUGCGAAGAAGUUAUGUGUUUUUAAAUGGCAGGACUAUGUCACAGAGCCUGAUGUGAAUUGAUUCUGAAGUUACCUUUUUCAGCAGUGUAUAUAACAAUGUGAAUACUAAAGAAGUUAUGUGUUUUUAAGUGGCAGGACUAUGCCACGGAGCUUGAUGAGAAACUUAUACGAAAUGCAACACAUUUGAUGGUAGCAAGGUUGGCAGGAAGUCUUGGUAAUGUAACCUAUAAGGUAUAGAUGACCUUUGCGUUAUUACUUUCUUGUAUAUUAAAUGUUAUUGAUCUUGUGAAUUGUCAGAACAUCACUUUUUAUAACUUGUGUACUGAUUGAAAAGGCCUUUACAUCACAUUUAGGAACCUUUCCGUGGUUGAAUAUCAAGCCUAACUCAGAAGGUCACUUCAGGGCUUGGCCAUAGCAAGUGAUUUUCUAGAGCAGCCAUUUCAGCCGGUGUUUAAUGAUAAUCUCCUUUCCAUCAAUUCGUCUUGAUUUCCAUAAUAACUAUUAAAAAUAAAACAAGAGAUACGAAUAAAGACUUGUUAGAAUCAACCAAACUAAUUGGUUUUAAUUAGAAAUACCAUACGACUUAGCGGGAAUCACGAUCAGAGUUGACACCGAUGAAUGGAAUCCAUCCACUGAUACAAAUCUUCCUCGAUUGAUAACCGCUCUGGAAAUGUUGUGAUACACUAAAAUUUUUAAAUAUUAUUCCAACAUUUGUGUUUUUCUACAACAGUUAGAUCAGCUAUCGAGGGACCAAAUUUGCUUUGGAUUGUGAACUUGAGUUUGGUCGUAUUGUGUAUAUUGUGUGUGCACGUGUGAUGUGUGUUUUUUGUGUAUAAUAUGUGUAGAUUGUGUAAUAAUGUAUUUUGUGCAGUAUGGUAAGAGUGUGUACGUUUGGAGUAUAAUGGGUGUAAUGUGUGUAUACGUUGUGUUUUGUGUUAGUGUGUAGUGUGAGUGUAUGUAUAGUGUGUUCUUUGUGUAAAGUGUUUAUUUUUUUAUAAUGUAUUUAGCACAAUGUUUGUAUUUGAAUAUAAUUUGUAUUGUGUAAA